Molecule: ribosomal RNA, 308 nt
Filed under: uncultured bacterium
Lineage: Bacteria
Description: bacterial SSU rRNA
Rfam family: Bacterial small subunit ribosomal RNA
Source: RNAcentral
AUUGAACGCUGGCGGUAGGCUUAACACAUGCAAGUCGAGCGGAAACGAUGAUAGCUUGCUAUCAGGCGUCGAGCGGCGGACGGGUGAGUAACGCGUAGGAAUCUGCCUGGUAAUGGGGGACAACCUGUGGAAACGCAGGCUAAUACCGCAUAAGCCCUAAGGGGGAAAGUAGGGGAUCUUCGGACCUUACGUUAUCAGAUGAGCCUGCGUAGGAUUAGCUAGUUGGUGAGGUAAUGGCUUACCAAGGCGACGAUCCUUAGCUGGUCUGAGAGGAUGAUCAGCCACACUGGGACUGAGACACGGCCCAG